Molecule: ribosomal RNA, 440 nt
Filed under: uncultured Arcobacter sp.
Lineage: Bacteria; Pseudomonadati; Campylobacterota; Epsilonproteobacteria; Campylobacterales; Arcobacteraceae
Description: bacterial SSU rRNA
Rfam family: Bacterial small subunit ribosomal RNA
Source: RNAcentral
CCUACGGGUGGCAGCAGUGGGGAAUAUUGCACAAUGGAGGAAACUCUGAUGCAGCAACGCCGCGUGGAGGAUGACACUUUUCGGAGCGUAAACUCCUUUUAUAUAGGAAGAUAAUGACGGUACUAUAUGAAUAAGCACCGGCUAACUCCGUGCCAGCAGCCGCGGUAAUACGGAGGGUGCAAGCGUUACUCGGAAUCACUGGGCGUAAAGAGCGUGUAGGCGGGUUAUUAAGUCAGAAGUGAAAUCCUAUGGCUCAACCAUAGAACUGCUUUUGAAACUGGUGCGCUAGAGUCUCGGAGAGGUUGGCGGAAUUCCAGGUGUAGGAGUGAAAUCCGUAGAUAUCUGGAGGAACACCGGUGGCGAAGGCGGCCAACUGGACGAGUACUGACGCUGAGGUACGAAAGCGUGGGUAGCAAACAGGAUUAGAUACCCCAGUAGUC